AUGGAGGCGGCCACGUUGAACCCCCGCGCGUCGGUGAGGACGCGGGUGAUGUUCACCGCCGGGGACGGGCGGCUCUCGGAGCCGGACGCGGCGAUGUCGAAGCCGGAGGGCACGAUGAGGCCGCCCACGGCGAGCACGCUGAGGUUGUACGGCUCCCUGGUGACGGCGCCGAGGACGGUGGCGUUCGACCCCGGGGAUGGGGACGGCGAGCGGACGACGACGGCGGAGCCGGCAGCCGUGAGGUUGACGGCGCCGAGGUCGGAGGGCGCGCGGCCGGUGGUCUGGAAGAGCGUGGUGACGAGCCUCCCGGAGGCGGGGACGCGGGCGAGGUCGGACGGGGAGAGGUACUCGAGGAGGACGUGGUAG
Molecule: ribosomal RNA, 366 nt
Filed under: Triticum aestivum (bread wheat)
Lineage: Eukaryota; Viridiplantae; Streptophyta; Magnoliopsida; Poales; Poaceae
Description: partial small subunit ribosomal RNA
Source: RNAcentral